RNAcentral lists this transfer RNA (72 nucleotides) under Sphaerodactylus townsendi. Its description in RNAcentral is "tRNA-Ser". Lineage: Eukaryota; Metazoa; Chordata; Lepidosauria; Squamata; Sphaerodactylidae. The record is from RNAcentral.
GGGGCUGUAGCUCAGUGGUAAAUCAUUACAUUUGAAUGUUGAAGGUCAUGGGUUCAAUCCCUGCCAUCCCCA